RNAcentral lists this ribosomal RNA (253 nucleotides) under uncultured bacterium. RNAcentral's name for it is "partial 16S ribosomal RNA". It matches the Rfam family "Bacterial small subunit ribosomal RNA", at positions 524 to 776 of the family's 1533-position model. The record is from RNAcentral.
UACAGAGGUGGCAAGCGUUGUUCGGAAUUACUGGGCGUAAAGGGCGCGUAGGCGGCCAUCUAAGUCAGACGUGAAAUCCCCCGGCUUAACCUGGGAACUGCGUCUGAUACUGGACGGCUAGAGUAUGGGAGAGGGAUGUAGAAUUCCAGGUGUAGCGGUGAAAUGCGUAGAUAUCUGGAGGAAUACCGGUGGCGAAGGCGGCAUCCUGGACCAUUACUGACGCUGAGGCGCGAAAGCUAGGGGAGCAAACGGG